GCCAAAGUAAUGAGUUGGCCUUAAUACCAACAGGAGGUGGGAAAUUUGUUUUCAUUUUCUGUUGCUCAUCGUUUUGUUUGGUUUAAAGAAUUGAAGAAGCCAAAUCAAGCAGGUUUUCUUCGUUCAGGAGUUGUUUAACUAGUGGUAGUACGAAAAUGACACCAAGUGUUGGUAUUGGCUGUGAUUGUAUGUUUUUGCCUGGGGAAAAAAGCUUUCGGUUGAUCAGCAUCUGUUGCUGAGUUAACAAUCUUUCGCCGAUUGAGAAUGUAUUCCUUCCAGGAGUGAAGAUCCAAUUGUCUUGAAAACGUCUUGUUGUAGUUGCUGCCUGCAUUUAAAACAACAAUAAAACAAUUGGCACAUGCCAAAUCGUGAUUUAAUAUUUGUCAAGUUGACCGUUGAUAUUAUUACUUGUCUUCACCUUGUAAGUGCACCCUGGUUGUCAC
Lucilia cuprina (Australian sheep blowfly) is the source of this 443-nucleotide long non-coding RNA. RefSeq lists it as uncharacterized. The record is from RefSeq and is a predicted model, not a curated record. NCBI's taxonomy places the organism in Eukaryota, Metazoa, Arthropoda, Insecta, Diptera, Calliphoridae. The transcript is spliced from 5 exons.